GAUGAGCGCUAGCGGCAGGCCUAAUACAUGCAAGCUGAACGGUAAAUAUUGUAGCAAUACAAUAUGAGAGUAGCGUAAGGGUGCGUAACACGUAUGCAAUCUGCCCUGUACAGGAGGAUAGCUCGGGGAAACCCGGAUUAAUACUCCGUAAUAUUAUUGGGAGGCAUCUCUUGAUAAUUAAAGUCGCAAGACGGUAUGGGAUGAGCAUGCGUCUGAUUAGCUAGUUGGUGGUGUAACGGACCACCAAGGCGAUGAUCAGUGGGGGAACUGAGAGGUUGAUCCCCCACACUGGCACUGAGAUACGGGCCAGACUCCUACGGGAGGCAGCAGUAGGGAAUACUGGUCAAUGGAUGCAAGUCUGAACCAGCCAUGCCGCGUGCAGGAAGAAGGCCUUCUGGGUUGUAAACUGCUUUUGCCGGGGGAUAAAAAGUCCAUGUGUGGACAAUUGAAGGUACCCGGUGAAUAAGCCACGGCUAACU
Molecule: ribosomal RNA, 479 nt
Filed under: uncultured bacterium
Lineage: Bacteria
Description: bacterial SSU rRNA
Rfam family: Bacterial small subunit ribosomal RNA
Source: RNAcentral